RNAcentral lists this ribosomal RNA (725 nucleotides) under uncultured Bacillaceae bacterium. RNAcentral's name for it is "bacterial SSU rRNA". It matches the Rfam family "Bacterial small subunit ribosomal RNA", at positions 50 to 758 of the family's 1533-position model. Lineage: Bacteria; Bacillati; Bacillota; Bacilli; Caryophanales; Bacillaceae. The record is from RNAcentral.
AAUACAUGCAAGUCGAGCGGACAGAAGGGAGCUUGCUCCCGGACGUUAGCGGCGGACGGGUGAGUAACACGUAGGUAACCUGCCCCUUAGACUGGGAUAACUCCGGGAAACCGGAGCUAAUACGGGAUAGUAAAGAGAAUCACCUGAUUCUCUUUUGAAAGACGGUUUCGGCUGUCACUAAGGGAUGGGCCUGCGGCGCAUUAGCUAGUUGGUAAGGUAACGGCUUACCAAGGCGACGAUGCGUAGCCGACCUGAGAGGGUGAUCGGCCACACUGGGACUGAGACACGGCCCAGACUCCUACGGGAGGCAGCAGUAGGGAAUCUUCCGCAAUGGACGAAAGUCUGACGGAGCAACGCCGCGUGAGUGAGGAAGGCCUUCGGGUCGUAAAGCUCUGUUGUGAGGGAAGAACAAGUACCGGGGUAACUACCGGUACCUUGACGGUACCUCACCAGAAAGCCACGGCUAACUACGUGCCAGCAGCCGCGGUAAUACGUAGGUGGCAAGCGUCGUCCGGAAUUAUUGGGCGUAAAGCGCGCGCAGGCGGCUUCUUAAGUCUGAUGUGAAAUCUCGGGGCUCAACCCCGAGCGGCCAUUGGAAACUGGGAAGCUUGAGUGCAGAAGAGGAGAGUGGAAUUCCACGUGUAGCGGUGAAAUGCGUAGAUAUGUGGAGGAACACCAGUGGCGAAGGCGACUCUCUGGUCUGUAACUGACGCUGAGGCGCGAAA